This 572-nucleotide ribosomal RNA is filed under the name uncultured bacterium. RNAcentral's name for it is "partial 16S ribosomal RNA". It matches the Rfam family "Bacterial small subunit ribosomal RNA", at positions 355 to 938 of the family's 1533-position model. The record is from RNAcentral.
UGGGGAAUAUUGCACAAUGGGCGAAAGCCUGAUGCAGCGACGCCGCGUGCGGGAUGACGGCCUUCGGGUUGUAAACCGCUUUCGGCAGGGAAGAAGCCGCAAGGUGACGGUACCUGCAGAAGAAGCGCCGGCUAACUACGUGCCAGCAGCCGCGGUAAUACGUAGGGCGCAAGCGUUGUCCGGAAUUAUUGGGCGUAAAGAGCUCGUAGGCGGUUCGUCGCGUCUGCUGUGAAAUCCUCAGGCUCAACCUGGGGCGUGCAGUGGGUACGGGCGGACUAGAGUGCGGUAGGGGUGACUGGAAUUCCUGGUGUAGCGGUGGAAUGCGCAGAUAUCAGGAGGAACACCGAUGGCGAAGGCAGGUCACUGGGCCGCAACUGACGCUGAGGAGCGAAAGCAUGGGGAGCGAACAGGAUUAGAUAGCCCUGGCAGUCCAUGCCGUAAACGCUGGGCACUAGGUGUGGGGUCCAUUCCACGGAUUCCGUGCCGCAGCAAAGCGCAUUAAGUGCCCCGCCUGGGGAGUACGGCCGCAAGGCUAAAACUUAAAUGAAUUGACGGGGUCAAAGCUGUUUCCU